CUCAUCGACUCGCUGAGCGAGCAGCGCGCCGCCGCCGUGCUGCUGGUCGGUUCGACGCCGACCGACGAGG
RNAcentral lists this transfer RNA (70 nucleotides) under Microbacterium terrae. RNAcentral's name for it is "tRNA-Gly". Lineage: Bacteria; Bacillati; Actinomycetota; Actinomycetes; Micrococcales; Microbacteriaceae. The record is from RNAcentral.